RNAcentral lists this ribosomal RNA (218 nucleotides) under uncultured bacterium. Its description in RNAcentral is "partial 16S ribosomal RNA". It matches the Rfam family "Bacterial small subunit ribosomal RNA", at positions 1283 to 1500 of the family's 1533-position model. The record is from RNAcentral.
ACGUCUCAGUUCGGACUGUGGUCUGCAACCCGACCACACGAAGCUGGAAUCGCUAGUAAUCGUGAAUCAGAAUGUCACGGUGAAUACGUUCCCGGGUCUUGUACACACCGCCCGUCACACCAUGGGAGUCAGCAACGCCCGAAGUCAGUGACCUAACCGAAAGGGAGGAGCUGCCGAAGGCGGGGCCGGUAACUGGGGUGAAGUCGUAACAAGGUAUC